Molecule: ribosomal RNA, 253 nt
Filed under: uncultured bacterium
Lineage: Bacteria
Description: partial 16S ribosomal RNA
Rfam family: Bacterial small subunit ribosomal RNA
Source: RNAcentral
UACGGGGGGGGCAAGCGUUGUUCGGAAUUACUGGGCGUAAAGGGCGCGUAGGCGGCCUGCUAAGUCGGACGUGAAAUCCCCCGGCUCAACCGGGGAACUGCGUCCGAUACUGGUGGGCUCGAAUCCGGGAGAGGGAUGUGGAAUUCCAGGUGUAGCGGUGAAAUGCGCAGAUAUCAGGAGGAACACCGGUGGCGAAGGCGGAUCUCUGGGCCAUUACUGACGCUGAGGAGCGAAAGCGUGGGGAGCGAACAGG